UACGUAGGGUGCGAGCGUUGUCCGGAAUUAUUGGGCGUAAAGAGCUUGUAGGCGGUUUGUCGCGUCUGCCGUGAAAAUUCGAGGCUCAACCUCGAACUUGCGGUGGGUACGGGCAGACUAGAGUGUGGUAGGGGAGACUGGAAUUCCUGGUGUAGCGGUGAAAUGCGCAGAUAUCAGGAGGAACACCGGUGGCGAAGGCGGGACUCUGGGCCGAUACUGACGCUGAGGAGCGAAGGCGUGGGGAGCAAACAGG
Molecule: ribosomal RNA, 253 nt
Filed under: uncultured bacterium
Lineage: Bacteria
Description: partial 16S ribosomal RNA
Rfam family: Bacterial small subunit ribosomal RNA
Source: RNAcentral